Molecule: long non-coding RNA, 419 nt
Organism: Eptesicus fuscus (big brown bat)
Lineage: Eukaryota; Metazoa; Chordata; Mammalia; Chiroptera; Vespertilionidae
Exons: 2
Source: RefSeq, a predicted model, not a curated record
AGGAGCUGCCCCCUGGUGGUCAGUGUGCUCCCAUAGCGGGAGAGCCCGCUCAGCCAAAAGCCCUAAACCAGGCUCAUGGCUGGCGAGCACAUUGGCGGUGGCGGGAGCCUCUUCCAUCUCUGCAGCAGCACUAAGGACCUAAGGAGCGAGCGGUGAGCAGUAAGGAGCAAGUGGCUGUACUGAGAACAUACAGCAGUUAAGCUAGCCUCUACCAUGAAGAUGAAGUGGCAACCAAAGAAAUGGUUGAACAGAAGGACAGAGGAAACCUGGUCCCCAGGUCAACCUAUGCAAAGUUCCCUACCUUCCGCAGACACCAUGCCUCCCUAUUCCCUUCUGUCUCAUUCGAGCCAGAGUAAUUUGGGGUCUUUUUGUAGCAGACUCAUAUCUUAAUAAAUUUAUAGAAAGAUAAUAGAAAUUAA